RNAcentral lists this ribosomal RNA (300 nucleotides) under uncultured Vagococcus sp. RNAcentral's name for it is "bacterial SSU rRNA". It matches the Rfam family "Bacterial small subunit ribosomal RNA", at positions 496 to 795 of the family's 1533-position model. The record is from RNAcentral. Lineage: Bacteria; Bacillati; Bacillota; Bacilli; Lactobacillales; Enterococcaceae.
ACUAACGUGGUGGCGGCAGCGCGGGUGAGACGGAGGGUGCGGGGAGUAGUCGGAGUUACUGGGCGUAAAGCGUGCGUAGGCGGCUGUUUAGGUCGGAUGUGAAAUCCCCGAGCUUAACUUGGGAAUUGCAUUCGAUACUGGGAAGCUAGAGUAUGGGAGAGGAUGGUAGAAUUCCAGGUGUAGCGGUGAAAUGCGUAGAGAUCUGGAGGAAUACCGGUGGCGAAGGCGGCCCCCUGGACAAAGACUGACGCUCAGGUGCGAAAGCGUGGGGAGCAAACAGGAUUAGAUACCCUAGUAGUC